CCUACGGGCGGCUGCAGUGGGGAAUUUUGCGCAAUGGGGGAAACCCUGACGCAGCAACGCCGCGUGAGUGAUGAAGGCCUUCGGGUCGUAAAGCUCUGUCAGAGGGGAAGAAGUGUGGGGUGGCUAAUAUCCAUUUCACUUGACGGUACCUUCAAAGGAAGCACCGGCUAACUCCGUGCCAGCAGCCGCGGUAAUACGGAGGGUGCGAGCGUUGUUCGGAAUUAUUGGGCGUAAAGCGCGUGUAGGCGGUUUUUUAAGUCUGAUGUGAAAGCCCUGGGCUCAACCCGGGAAGUGCAUUGGAAACUGGGAGACUUGAAUACGGGAGAGGGCAGUGGAAUUCCUGGUGUAGGAGUGAAAUCCGUAGAUAUCAGGAGGAACACCGGUGGCGAAGGCGGCUGCCUGGACCGAUAUUGACGCUGAGACGCGAAAGCGUGGGGAGCAAACAGGAUUAGAUACCCCGGUAGUC
This 466-nucleotide ribosomal RNA is filed under the name uncultured Geobacter sp. RNAcentral's name for it is "bacterial SSU rRNA". It matches the Rfam family "Bacterial small subunit ribosomal RNA", at positions 338 to 795 of the family's 1533-position model. Lineage: Bacteria; Pseudomonadati; Thermodesulfobacteriota; Desulfuromonadia; Geobacterales; Geobacteraceae. The record is from RNAcentral.